RNAcentral lists this long non-coding RNA (549 nucleotides) under Zostera marina. RNAcentral describes it as "long non-coding RNA (ZMAR_LNC001834)". The record is from RNAcentral. Lineage: Eukaryota; Viridiplantae; Streptophyta; Magnoliopsida; Alismatales; Zosteraceae.
CCAAUAUAAAUAAGUAAUAACCAAGGUUUUUUUUUAUAAUUUAUACACAAAAUAACAAAUGCAAACUAUACACAUAACACAAUGUAAUAGUUACCCAUUGAUUUUUAAUGAAACAAGUCCAAUAGAUUUCUAAAAUCAUCCUCUCUUGUUCCGACGAUCAUCGGACAUCACCCCUCCUUUGUUUCUGAUCUGCUACAUGGUAUGAGAGCUGUAAAAUGUCUUCAAACAUUAAUGAGUCUGAUUAAUUAAAAAUCCUGUUCUAAUUUUAUUAUUAUUUUAUUUUCUCACAACUUAAUUUACCAAAAAAACCAUAUCGGUAACCGGUCAAAACCAUGUACUCCAAUCUGGUGAGCCGCUGCUUUGACUUGCCGCACACGUUAAUAGUCCACGUGUUAAAUAAAGAGCAUCCAUGACUUCAAGUUAAGCUUGAUUACAACGCAUCCUGCGGGUCCAGCAGCUCGCUUGCUAGCUAUUUCUUCUAUAUAUAUAAAAAGAAGUCCAAAAAAGAAGAAUAACAAGGUAUAGUAGUUGACCAAAUCACCGACAGGA